UUAAGGGCUUGUAAGUAAGCAUUUCAUGGUAAGGUCUAAACCUGUUGUAUUCGGUGCAUAUGACAAAUAAACAUUUGAUUUGAUGUAGUAGCCUUAACCUAUCGCUGUUACAUUUAACUGGGUGAAUGGAAUAUGAAUGACAGUCAUCCAAUAUGCUGUAAUAGAAAUAAGGCCAUGCUCAUGAAUAUUUUGUUUUGUUUUCCGUCCUCUUAAACUGCACCGAACGUCACUGGUAUCAGCUGACCACAUCAUGGCAAUCUGGUGCUCCACGCCACAGUCGAUGACCUUGCACGCAACCAUUGGUGGAUGCAAGCAACGUCUGAGCAGGGGCACACCACCAAAACCUCUUCACAGAGGUGAAUUUGAGGAGGAAAUCUGAAGGAACAGAUGAGGAUGGAUCGGCCACACCCUUUGAACAUCACCACCCUCCAACAUCACCAAGCCAGCUCUAUCCUGGAACUCUUUAAGAGUCUUGGAGCUGGAUGCUGCUGCAAUUCAGCACGUUUAUAUUUACAUUGAGGCUGACUUCAACCUAGCCAAAAGAAGGGUAUGGGGACGGAGCAUUAUUGGCCAGCGUGCCUUUGUGAAUGUCCCUGGACAGCGUGGCGGGAAUAUCACCAUGUGCGCAGCAGUUAGCCAGCAAGGCAUCCUCCAUCACCAUGCCAACCUUGGUCCCUACAACACCGCCCUUCUCAUCACGUUCCUGGACACGUUACAUGGCAUCCUCAUUCCAGCCGAGCAGAGGGGUGGACCAGAGCAGCCCAGGUAUGUUGUCAUCUGGGACAACGUGAGUUUCCACUGGGCUGCUCUGGUCCGCAACUGGUUCAUCGACCACCCACAAUUUAUUGUUCUAUACCUCCCACCAUAUUCACCAUUCCUAAACCCAAUUGAAGAGUUGCAUGGCGAUGGCAGGUGUAUGACCGCUAUUCCCUCGCCUGGAGAAGAGGCAUGCGUGCAAUGGAGGAUGCAUGUGAUGAAGUUGAUGUGGGGGCUUUCGGCAGCUGGAUCCGUCACUCCAGAAGAUUCUUUCCCCACUGUUUAGCCAGGGAGAACAUCGCUUGUGAUGUAGAUGAGGUGCUGUGGUCAGACCAAAAUAGAGGCAGGAUGCUGCCUAAUGUCUUUAAUUACAUUUCGCAUGUGUUUGUCUUUUUCUGUUUAGAGUUUUGAAAGAAUGAGCCACUUAAAAAAAUAUAUAUAUAUUGUACAGAAAACCCUUCAUCUUACUCAAUGUUUCUCCUGUUGGGUAUGAAAGUGUUACAUACAAAACACAAGUGUUCAAAAAUACUGCAUUUUGGAAAUAAAUGUUUGUUACGGUAUUGUGUUUGUUGGGAUAUUUAUAGUGUUUUGUGUUGAGCACAUCAGUGUGUUGUUGGUAGACAGAUCUAUUCAUAUGACGCGUCAUUUUGAUACAAAAAAAAAAACAUUUGGGAAAGAAGUUUUGAAUGCAGUGUUUGCUUUUGCUAGAGUUUUGGGGAAAAUGGGCCAAAGAUUCAGCAAACGUGUGUAAACAAUUGAACUAUAAAUUGUUUUCUGCAGGUUUCAUGCUUCCAUCUGAGAACAUUCCCAAUGUCAAACCAGUCAGAAGGUUCCUAGAACAUUCUCAAAACCUAAAUUAAAUGUAACCAUGCUUGACCUUUUAGGAAACAUUCUGUUAGAGUAAUGACAUACCAAGAAAAUAACAUUUAUCAAGUUCCUUAAAUGUGCUGAGAAUUUUCCAAAGCCAAACAACUUUUCUGCAUCAUUCCCAGAACAUUGUGGGAAGGUUGUAUGUGUAACAAUGUGCGCUGAGAGUUGGGAAGCUAGUUCAGGGAGUGAGUGUUUCAAUAAACAGAACAUAAUACAAAACAAGAAACACUAACAGCACACAGACAUGAAACACCGCCUCGGGAAGGAACCAAGGAAAUCAGGGAGGUGAUGGAGUCCAGGUGAGUCUGACGCGCAGGUGCACCUGACGAUGGUGACAGCAGCCUGGUGACCUAGAAGCCGGAGAGGGAGCACACAUGACAGUACCCCCUUCCCGACAUGCCGAAUAAAAAUGACGAUCCCGGGGAUCAGGAGCGGACCGGUCACCUCUGCUAAGGCGCGGGAACCUGUCAAUCUGGCUGAGGUGUGGGAGCAUGGCGACCUAGAGCGCUGGAGAGGGCACA
RNAcentral lists this long non-coding RNA (2147 nucleotides) under Salmo salar (Atlantic salmon). Its description in RNAcentral is "lncRNA (ENSSSAG00000084954.1)". The record is from RNAcentral. Lineage: Eukaryota; Metazoa; Chordata; Actinopteri; Salmoniformes; Salmonidae.